This 2440-nucleotide ribosomal RNA is filed under the name Escherichia coli. RNAcentral's name for it is "partial 23S ribosomal RNA". It matches the Rfam family "Bacterial large subunit ribosomal RNA", at positions 375 to 2803 of the family's 2925-position model. Lineage: Bacteria; Pseudomonadati; Pseudomonadota; Gammaproteobacteria; Enterobacterales; Enterobacteriaceae. The record is from RNAcentral.
GUACACAAAAAUGCACAUGCUGUGAGCUCGAUGAGUAGGGCGGGACACGUGGUAUCCUGUCUGAAUAUGGGGGGACCAUCCUCCAAGGCUAAAUACUCCUGACUGACCGAUAGUGAACCAGUACCGUGAGGGAAAGGCGAAAAGAACCCCGGCGAGGGGAGUGAAAAAGAACCUGAAACCGUGUACGUACAAGCAGUGGGAGCACGCUUAGGCGUGUGACUGCGUACCUUUUGUAUAAUGGGUCAGCGACUUAUAUUCUGUAGCAAGGUUAACCGAAUAGGGGAGCCGAAGGGAAACCGAGUCUUAACUGGGCGUUAAGUUGCAGGGUAUAGACCCGAAACCCGGUGAUCUAGCCAUGGGCAGGUUGAAGGUUGGGUAACACUAACUGGAGGACCGAACCGACUAAUGUUGAAAAAUUAGCGGAUGACUUGUGGCUGGGGGUGAAAGGCCAAUCAAACCGGGAGAUAGCUGGUUCUCCCCGAAAGCUAUUUAGGUAGCGCCUCGUGAAUUCAUCUCCGGGGGUAGAGCACUGUUUCGGCAAGGGGGUCAUCCCGACUUACCAACCCGAUGCAAACUGCGAAUACCGGAGAAUGUUAUCACGGGAGACACACGGCGGGUGCUAACGUCCGUCGUGAAGAGGGAAACAACCCAGACCGCCAGCUAAGGUCCCAAAGUCAUGGUUAAGUGGGAAACGAUGUGGGAAGGCCCAGACAGCCAGGAUGUUGGCUUAGAAGCAGCCAUCAUUUAAAGAAAGCGUAAUAGCUCACUGGUCGAGUCGGCCUGCGCGGAAGAUGUAACGGGGCUAAACCAUGCACCGAAGCUGCGGCAGCGACGCUUAUGCGUUGUUGGGUAGGGGAGCGUUCUGUAAGCCUGCGAAGGUGUGCUGUGAGGCAUGCUGGAGGUAUCAGAAGUGCGAAUGCUGACAUAAGUAACGAUAAAGCGGGUGAAAAGCCCGCUCGCCGGAAGACCAAGGGUUCCUGUCCAACGUUAAUCGGGGCAGGGUGAGUCGACCCCUAAGGCGAGGCCGAAAGGCGUAGUCGAUGGGAAACAGGUUAAUAUUCCUGUACUUGGUGUUACUGCGAAGGGGGGACGGAGAAGGCUAUGUUGGCCGGGCGACGGUUGUCCCGGUUUAAGCGUGUAGGCUGGUUUUCCAGGCAAAUCCGGAAAAUCAAGGCUGAGGCGUGAUGACGAGGCACUACGGUGCUGAAGCAACAAAUGCCCUGCUUCCUGGAAAAGCCUCUAAGCAUCAGGUAACAUCAAAUCGUACCCCAAACCGACACAGGUGGUCAGGUAGAGAAUACCAAGGCGCUUGAGAGAACUCGGGUGAAGGAACUAGGCAAAAUGGUGCCGUAACUUCGGGAGAAGGCACGCUGAUAUGUAGGUGAAGCGACUUGCUCGUGGAGCUGAAAUCAGUCGAAGAUACCAGCUGGCUGCAACUGUUUAUUAAAAACACAGCACUGUGCAAACACGAAAGUGGACGUAUACGGUGUGACGCCUGCCCGGUGCCGGAAGGUUAAUUGAUGGGGUCAGCGCAAGCGAAGCUCUUGAUCGAAGCCCCGGUAAACGGCGGCCGUAACUAUAACGGUCCUAAGGUAGCGAAAUUCCUUGUCGGGUAAGUUCCGACCUGCACGAAUGGCGUAAUGAUGGCCAGGCUGUCUCCACCCGAGACUCAGUGAAAUUGAACUCGCUGUGAAGAUGCAGUGUACCCGCGGCAAGACGGAAAGACCCCGUGAACCUUUACUAUAGCUUGACACUGAACAUUGAGCCUUGAUGUGUAGGAUAGGUGGGAGGCUUUGAAGUGUGGACGCCAGUCUGCAUGGAGCCGACCUUGAAAUACCACCCUUUAAUGUUUGAUGUUCUAACGUUGACCCGUAAUCCGGGUUGCGGACAGUGUCUGGUGGGUAGUUUGACUGGGGCGGUCUCCUCCUAAAGAGUAACGGAGGAGCACGAAGGUUGGCUAAUCCUGGUCGGACAUCAGGAGGUUAGUGCAAUGGCAUAAGCCAGCUUGACUGCGAGCGUGACGGCGCGAGCAGGUGCGAAAGCAGGUCAUAGUGAUCCGGUGGUUCUGAAUGGAAGGGCCAUCGCUCAACGGAUAAAAGGUACUCCGGGGAUAACAGGCUGAUACCGCCCAAGAGUUCAUAUCGACGGCGGUGUUUGGCACCUCGAUGUCGGCUCAUCACAUCCUGGGGCUGAAGUAGGUCCCAAGGGUAUGGCUGUUCGCCAUUUAAAGUGGUACGCGAGCUGGGUUUAGAACGUCGUGAGACAGUUCGGUCCCUAUCUGCCGUGGGCGCUGGAGAACUGAGGGGGGCUGCUCCUAGUACGAGAGGACCGGAGUGGACGCAUCACUGGUGUUCGGGUUGUCAUGCCAAUGGCACUGCCCGGUAGCUAAAUGCGGAAGAGAUAAGUGCUGAAAGCAUCUAAGCACGAAACUUGCCCCGAG